CGCGUGGUUAUAUGAAACAGAAAUGAGUUAAUGUGUUUAUGAAUUUGUUUUUGUGUAUACUCCAGUGAAUAAUGAAGAAUUCCAAAAACAAACUCCUAAAUGUCGCUUGGUCUGCACCAGGUGCACAUUUAGAUUAAAGGAGUUGGCUUCUCAGUUUCAAAAUAAUUAACUUUUCAAAAAACGAGGAUAUAUUGAUAGGGGAUAAAUAAAGGAAUCAAAAGAACAAAAAAAAUAUAUAGGUCACCGUGCUUGUUUUCGAGGUAAUAGCCAUUGAAAUUUUGGCAGGAAAUGUUCUCUCUUGACUUUUCAUAGCUUUAUCAUUGACAAGUUUAAGUCCUCAAAAACUAUUAAAAAUAACAGACAGCUUAUCAUUAUACAUGUUAAAGAAUCAUAAAAAGAAAAAUGGGGGUCACUGGGCAAAAUUUCGGUUAAGGCAUUAAAUGUAUACAUGUAAAUCCAGAGGAUUCCGAAAAUCUGAUAAAAAUUUCAAAACAUGACAAGCGAGCUUUCUUAAUAAUAAUACAGAAGAGCAGAUAAACAAAAAUGAACAAAAAUGUAUCGCCAAAAACCGUCAAGGAAUCAAAACUUUUGAUGAGGGAGAUAUAUU
RNAcentral lists this long non-coding RNA (607 nucleotides) under Mytilus galloprovincialis (Mediterranean mussel). The record is from RNAcentral. Lineage: Eukaryota; Metazoa; Mollusca; Bivalvia; Mytilida; Mytilidae.